Molecule: long non-coding RNA, 599 nt
Organism: Myxocyprinus asiaticus (Chinese sucker)
Lineage: Eukaryota; Metazoa; Chordata; Actinopteri; Cypriniformes; Catostomidae
Exons: 3
Source: RefSeq, a predicted model, not a curated record
CAAGAAGUGUAACACUAUCAGUAUCACAUUUUGUGAUCUCAAGGUUUCUGUGGAGGUUUUUCCAGAUCAUUGGCUAAAGACUUUUGUAGUCCGUAACUUAAUGCACUAAAAAUGUACAUGUUUGUUUAGUGUAUGAGACAGGAGUUAGUGUAACUCUAGUUUACUUACAUUUUUACAUUUACAUUUAUUCAUUUAGCAGACGUUUUUAUCCAAAGCGACUUACAAAUGAGGAAUACAGCAACAGCAAUUUGUCCUAAGGCAAUAACAUGAGCUGCAAUACAAAGUUUCAAAUUGCUCAGAGAAGUACAAGUAGGGAAGAAGGUACAGUAAAGAAAAAUUCCCAAACCAAGAAUUCAUGGGAUGAAGAUGUGGAAAGACACACUGCACAAUGACCAUGAAAACCUCCCGAUAGAGGUGGUGGAAGGAGAAAAUGAGCAAAGGCCAACGCACAGUACUUUAAAAAAGGCCGUUUCAGACCGUUCUGGCGCCCUAGGCGAGAUCCCUAUUGGUGCCCCUGUUCUGGGUGGGUGAGGGGGUGUUUGGGGAGCAGUUCGCCUAUGCCUAGAAAUGGCCCUGGUUGUUAAUAAAUGUUCUUCAUG